Molecule: unclassified non-coding RNA, 5039 nt
Filed under: Leishmania donovani
Lineage: Eukaryota; Euglenozoa; Kinetoplastea; Trypanosomatida; Trypanosomatidae
Description: gene:LdHU3.19.0330(CDS-product:RNA_binding_protei n_putative)
Source: RNAcentral
CUGUGUAGUAGGGAUAGUACGCGUGAUCUCCUAUUUUGGUUUGGCUGUGUAUACCCUGUCUUUAGUGGGCGCGCUAGGGAACCAUCUGUAGCACAGCGAUUCCCCGGCUUGCACGACACACACACACAAACACAGACACAGACACGCCCGGUCUUACUCAGGCGCACGUCGGUGUCGUCGAGCCAAGGAUCUUUGGUGGCGAGUUUGAAUUCACAGACAACGCAGGAGGAUUGUCCUCUAGCUACACACACACACACACAUACAUAUAGAGAAGGAAUCUCGCGCCAAGGGAAUCGGGCGAGCACGCGCACUUGUUGAUCGCCACGCACAACCUCUUCCCCACCCAGCUCUCUCUGUUUCUCUCGUUCUCCCGGCGCUGCGCUUGCACAUCCUCACAUCGCUGCGGUCUGUCUCUACGCUGAGCCCCUUUUGAUUUCCUUUCUGCCGUCUUGUCGCGUCUCUUCGCCUUCCUUCUCAUCCCUCUACCCCCCAGGUCGCCCCCUUUCCGUCCUCUUACCCUUCGCCGCCGCCGACUGUCGCCGGCUGAUGAAGUCCAACGUCGAGGCCGACGCCGCCGCGAUGGGCCCCUAUCACGGCAACGGCAUGAUGGCACCUGCCAUGAGCGCGAACGAGCCAAUGCAAGUGGUGUACAACCGCACACAGAAGCGCGUGCCGGUUUUCCGCGACAGCCUGAUUAUGUACGAGCAGCAGAUGGUGCGGGUGAUGGAGGAACUGCGCACGCUGACGAUGGACGUGAAUGCGCUGCGGGCGCAUUACGAAGAGGCGCUCCAGGAGAAACUGUACAUUGAGAACCUCGCGGCACAGGCGGAGAAGCGCGUGCAGGACGUGAAGGAAAUCGUGGACCGCUACGUUGGUGUCAAAGACGCGGUGGUAGCCAGCGACGGCUUCACGUAUGAGCGGGAGACGAUCUCCUCGUAUAUCGAAGGCUGCAAAGAGGCUGGCGGCACGCCGACGUCAUACCAGACAGAGAAGCCGCUGACCUCGCUGCUGAUCCCGAACCGCUCGCUCAAGACGCUGGUGGAUCGCUUGGCGACGCUGCAGAAGGCGGAGCCGACGCCGCCGGCGCCGGCCGACCGCAACCCGGUGCAGCACCACUCGAAGUCGAUGACGGCGGGCCGCGCAGGAAACGUCUCUAUCAACCAGCACGAAGGCCAGCGGCGCAACAUGCACGGCGGCGGAAAGGACAGCUCCGGCCCGGUGGAGCUGAACGCCAAGGGGGAACGAGUGCAUCCGUGCAUUCGUGUGUACGGGUACUGCAACUACAACGAGAGCUGCGCGUACGCGAAGUAUCCGUACGAUGCGUGCUUGUCGAAUCUGAAGAACAAGUGCCGCUUCAAGAACCAGUGCCACGAGCGCCACGUCGAGUUCCGCGGCCCACUGGACGACUACGGUAACUGCGCUUCCACUAACCAGGGGCCUAACCAAGAGAUCAUUGCGUCCGAGCCCGUGGGGGAAGCGAACAAGUAGACUCCGUGUCUUUCAUCUUGGGCGCUCCUCUGUCACCCUCCGUCACCCUCUGCCACACGCACACAGACGCAGACGCAGACAGAAGUUAGUUGGCCAGAGAGGAGAAAGGCACCGCAGCCACCCUUGCCAGAGGGCCGCCCUUUUUCUUUGUCGCUUUAAAGGUUAUAUGUGUUGCAUCUCUCUCUCUCUCUGCGCGUGCAAGAUUGCUGCUCAUGCCCCUCCCACUUCCUGUUGGAUGCUUGCUGCUCUAUUUCCGAGUGCGUGUGUGUGUGCGUGUAUUCUCUGCUGUCGCCCGAUUCAACGCCGGCAUUUCUGCACCUCUCUCUCUCUCAGGGCGCCUCUUUGAGAAAGAAGCCGUUGUCUCCCCACGCCCACGCAUCUGUUGUCUUUUCCAGCCGCCCCUUUGUUUUCGUUUCGCUUCUCUUUCUCUUCCCUUCCCCUCCCUUCUUCCUCCUCCUCACAUCUCCUGUUCCGUGCUCGACGCGCUCUCGUUUCUUCGGCUCCUCUUCUCUCUCUCCUCCCGCGACCUGCGUGACCGCUGCCCUGAGUGCUUCCUCUCUUGCCUGUUCUUUUACCGUGUGUGCGGAGUUGCAUCCUCCUUCUCCUCCUUUUCACGCUUUUUUCGCUCCUCGACUCCCCCCCACCCUUCCCAACUCGCGUCGCGUGGCUCUGGCUGCUCUCGCCUUCCUUUUCUUUCCAUUGUCUUUCUGUGUGCGUGCUAGCCGCGCGCCCUUGUUGGCGUUUUCGGCCAGUGCGCGCUGGUAAGGCAGUAGCCUUAUUGCGUGUAUGCGUCGGCUGUGAUGGCCGCGGUCUCGUGAAAGCGCUUCUUGCCGAUGUGGUCGGCGAGAUGAGGGGUGGGACGGGUUGUUGAGAGGAAGGAUCACGGGCUGGGGUGAGUCGGUGACUCGGCAAAGACGACGCCUCGUCUAGUACUGUUGCUCGAACAAACUCUUCUCCCCGUUCGGCCCUACGAUAAACGACGUUUCUUUUUCCUGUGGUUGUCUCUCCUCCGUGUUGCGAGGCAACAAGAGGACGUUCUUGCCCAGGCGCGCACGGGCACCUGCCCGCACUUCGGAUGCCUUCAACCGCGGGCUACGAGCAUCGACAGCAUGGAGUGCAGAUGGCGCGCUGCCCACUGCUGCGCUCGCGUUGUUGCGCCUCCGCCCCCGCCGGAGCCGCUGCCCUCCUGCCUGCGUCUGCUGUGAGGGCGUCCGGCCCGGCGUUGAGCCCGAUAUGCUGCGUGUAAUCCGUGGAUCGCUCAAGGCUCGAAGCGCGCCUUCUUUAUAAUCUUGCCCACAGCGGCCUGAUUGCGCACACCGCGCUCGCGCUGGGUGGGCUCCUCACUUGUCUGGUGUCCGCGGCUGCCCACCCCCUCUGCACUCUUAGAGGGACAGAGCACGGGCUCUCUGUGCGCAGUCGCAUGCCUAUGCACAGGCCCCUUCGGCUGGCCACACCGACUCCUGUGGGAGGCGUGCGGAUUCAGGAGAGGGUGGUGUGUCCCCUGCCGCCACAGACUCAUGGCUGCGUCGCACCUGCCGUGGCACGCGCGGGCAAGCCCCGAAGACGCGCCCCGGUGAAAUGGGCGGAAGCGGAGGAUGAAGACAGCGAGCCCCCGAGACAGCAACGCCGUCCUGAAACAGGCCCCACGAUCUGAAAAUGUGAGCACUGUGUGCACGCGCUGCCAGCCACAGCUGGCAUGGUGCGUCGCAUUCACGCAAGGCAUCCAGAGGUCGGCAGAGCAAGGAUGAUGGACGGUGAAGGCGGGAAGAGAUCCACACGAAUGAACCCCCCCCCCCCACACACACACAGUGCAUGCGUGCGAAGCAUGUGCGGCACGCCCUCCAUCCGACCGUGUGGGCUGACGCGGCGGGAAGCACGACGAGAACACGGCGAGCCGCGCCAUCGAGUCCUCCCGGCUCGAAUGUGGAGAGUCACUGCAGGAUCUUGUGGAAUGCCGUGGCUUGAGGCGACGGAGGGCGAAGCAUGGCAUGCGGCCCGGGCACAGGGACUCGGAGGGCCCUAGCCCGCAGCUGGCCAGCUUCCUGCUUGAACUCACCUGAGAUGCACCUUGACCACCUCCUGUUAUCCUCGCGGCGGACGCCACCGCUUCCGGCCUGGGGCUGGACCCUGGACGCAGCCCUCUCGGAUCAAGGCAUGCCGUCCUCCCGCGUCUCCGCCUGGCGCUGAUCGCGCAGCGCGUAUCGGAGAAGGGGACGAGGAAGGGCGAGACGAGUCCGCACGACGCACGGCCCGAUUCGACGGCAGCGACGGCUCGUCCUGGUGGACCAGGAGGUAGCCGUGGUGCAGCAGAGGUAGGCGAGCCUCGGUUGUGUCUGCGUGUGUAUGUUUGCUGACUUGUGCGUGGUGGAAUGACAUGUAAAGAAAAAUGGUCUCCUGGUUCCUUCGACGCCAAUGGAUAUGAGUGGGCAGAUGACCGUUCCUGUCAAACCAAUAGUCUGUGUGUGGUGCUUCGCACCUGGAAAAGAUGUUGGUGUGCUUUCAUGGGACGUCGCUGGAUGUCUCGCUGCUCCUCGCUUUACCUCUCGGGGUGUAUUGGCGGUGUGCGUAUGUUGUACUUGUGCUCGUUUUUUUUUUGGUGUUGUGCCGUUGUGUUGUAACGCGCGCGACUCGGUCUUGUGGCCGUUUUUCUCUUUGGUUUCUUUGUUUCUGCCGGCGUGUGUGGUGCAUAAGCGUGCGUGCGCACGUCCGUCCUUUGUCCGGGACGCGUUACCUUGGUGCUUGUCGAUGUGCACAUGUAUGUUGUCGUGUUGCAUUUGUGUGCGUGUGUGUGUGUCUCUGUUGUUUGCUGGCGGGGUGCGUUCGUCUCUGUUCUGCUCUCUCCGCCCUGCGCUGUGUGUGUAUGGGUGGGGCGAGAGAGGGAGUGGAAGCGAGAAGGCGAGAGUGAGAAGCACCGGAGGCGUUCUCUUUCUCUGUCUGUGCCCGUCUGUCCAUUUUUUCGCGUGCGUGUGCGCGAUUCGCCAACUUGGUGCUCUUUGCGUUUUUCGAUCCCAAUAACUACCGCGGAAAAAAAAGCAAAUACCAGAUUAUCGCACGACGUUCAUCGACAGCAAGUGAGGGUCAAGCACAGAUGCCGACGUGGCGCUCUGGGGGAGCGCCUCGUAUAAACUCAUGCACCGAUGCACGAUGAGUCCGACGUGCUUGCACCCGCCAACACUCACCAACGCGAACACGAGUUCUACUUGGUGUGUAUGUGAGCCCACAGGCAGAUACGUCUCUCCACGGUGGCGCGCCUUUGACCGCUGUCUUGCCACGUUGAGUGCGAGUGAAGGGCGAGAAGAGGCGCCGGAGAAGUGAGUCGGAGCUGUGGCAGGCUCUGUUCCUUUUGAAAGCCUUCGACAGGAGUGCAAGAGGGGGGAAUGGUCGAGACAAAAGACAACACAAAACAGCGUGAGGAGGAGGAGUGCGUGAACCUACUCGCCGCCACUCGAAUGGCAUGCUGCAACAACCAUCAGAUCGUCUCCUUUACCCUCCCUCCCGCCUCCCCCCCCCCCGUCCUGUUCGUCUACACGGCAUUUUCGAUGUCGAGGAAG